ACCCGGAAACGAAUGUCACUAGUUGUUGGGGAUUCAUUUCCUUAGUAACGUAGCUAACGCGUGAAGUUGACCGCCUGGGGAGUACGGUCGCAAGAUUAAAACUCAAAGGAAUUGACGGGGACCCGCACAAGCGGUGGAUGAUGUGGAUUAAUUCGAUGCAACGCGAAAAACCUUACCUACCCUUGACAUGCCACUAACGAAGCAGAGAUGCAUUAGGUGCUCGAAAGAGAAAGUGGACACAGGUGCUGCAUGGCUGUCGUCAGCUCGUGUCGUGAGAUGUUGGGUUAAGUCCCGCAACGAGCGCAACCCUUGUCUCUAGUUGCUACGAAAGGGCACUCUAGAGAGACUGCCGGUGACAAACCGGAGGAAGGUGGGGAUGACGUA
Molecule: ribosomal RNA, 384 nt
Filed under: Ralstonia sp.
Lineage: Bacteria; Pseudomonadati; Pseudomonadota; Betaproteobacteria; Burkholderiales; Burkholderiaceae
Description: bacterial SSU rRNA
Rfam family: Bacterial small subunit ribosomal RNA
Source: RNAcentral